RNAcentral lists this transfer RNA (77 nucleotides) under Thalassobaculum fulvum. Its description in RNAcentral is "tRNA-Arg". It matches the Rfam family "tRNA". From Rfam's summary of the family: Transfer RNA (tRNA) molecules are approximately 80 nucleotides in length. Their secondary structure includes four short double-helical elements and three loops (D, anti-codon, and T loops). Further hydrogen bonds mediate the characteristic L-shaped molecular structure. tRNAs have two regions of fundamental functional importance: the anti-codon, which is responsible for specific mRNA codon recognition, and the 3' end, to which the tRNAs corresponding amino acid is attached (by aminoacyl-tRNA synthetases). tRNAs cope with the degeneracy of the genetic code in two manners: having more than one tRNA (with a specific anti-codon) for a particular amino acid; and 'wobble' base-pairing, i.e. permitting non-standard base-pairing at the 3rd anti-codon position. RNAcentral also lists the same sequence under 1 other name. The record is from RNAcentral. Lineage: Bacteria; Pseudomonadati; Pseudomonadota; Alphaproteobacteria; Rhodospirillales; Thalassobaculaceae.
GUCCUCGUAGCUCAGCAGGAUAGAGCACCAGAUUCCUAAUCUGGGGGUCGCAGGUUCGAAUCCUGCCGGGGACGCCA